Molecule: ribosomal RNA, 253 nt
Filed under: uncultured bacterium
Lineage: Bacteria
Description: partial 16S ribosomal RNA
Rfam family: Bacterial small subunit ribosomal RNA
Source: RNAcentral
UACAGAGGGUGCGAGCGUUAAUCGGAAUUACUGGGCGUAAAGCGCGCGUAGGCGGCUUUGCAAGUCAGGUGUGAAAUCCCCAGGCUUAACCUGGGAACUGCAUCCGAUACUGGAUGGCUUGAAUCCGGGAGAGGGAUGCAGAAUUCCAGGUGUAGCGGUGAAAUGCGUAGAUAUCUGGAGGAAUACCGGUGGCGAAGGCGGCAUCCUGGACCGGCAUUGACGCUGAGGAGCGAAAGCUAGGGGAGCAAACGGG